Molecule: unclassified non-coding RNA, 297 nt
Organism: Lynx canadensis (Canada lynx)
Lineage: Eukaryota; Metazoa; Chordata; Mammalia; Carnivora; Felidae
Rfam family: Metazoan signal recognition particle RNA
About the family: The signal recognition particle (SRP) is a universally conserved ribonucleoprotein.
Source: Ensembl
CCUGGGAGUGGUAGGCACCUGUAGUCCCAACUACUUGGGAGGUUGAGGGAGGAGGAUCACAUGAGCCCAGGAGCUCUGGGCUGUAGUGUGCUGUGUCAGUUGGGUGUCCACACUAAGACUGGCAUCAGUAUGGUGAUCUUCUAGGAGCAAAUGACUACCAUGUUGCCUAAGGAGGGGCGGACCAGCCCACACUGGCAACAGAGCAGGUCAAAACUCCUUUGCUAAUCAGUAGUGAGAUCGUGCCUGUGAAUAGUCACUGCACUCCAUCCUGGGCAACAGGGUGGGAGCUUUUCUAUA